CAGUCUCUGCCUGUGGCGACUCUGGCUGGGGUUUUUGGUCACACUGACAUACUGAUGAAUUUCAUUUCCAUCCCACAGGAGUAAGAGAGGAAGCGAUGGGCUGGACUAUGAUUCUAAAAAAUGACUUUGGGGUCAUCGCCUGGACUCGGCACACUGCAAAGUUGGUCAGCCUCUUCCUCCUCUUGUCUCUUUUUACUAUUCCAAUCCCUUCAACAGACACAGUUCUACCCAGGGACCAGCAUUUCUCAUGGAAAGCAGGUCUUUCUCCAUGCUUUGUUGUUGGGGAGGUUGGGUUACCAUACAUGACAUCCAAGAUGAUCGCAAGACUAACGGCAGUGGUUGUUGUUGGAAACCCAAAACUGAAGAAACUAGAGUCCAUUUUCACUUUUCAGUGACAAAGGCUAAAUAUUACAGUGUCCCCUUGUCUAACAGGGGAUACAUUCCAAAAAUAACCCACGACAGGUGAAAUCCACAAAACGGAAUUACAGAUGUUUCAAGGCUGUAAAACUCCUCACUACACACAGCCCGACAUGAACUUUUUUACAUUUUUC
Molecule: long non-coding RNA, 551 nt
Filed under: Oryzias sinensis (Chinese medaka)
Lineage: Eukaryota; Metazoa; Chordata; Actinopteri; Beloniformes; Adrianichthyidae
Description: lncRNA (ENSOSIG00000008270.1)
Source: RNAcentral